Molecule: long non-coding RNA, 695 nt
Organism: Clupea harengus (Atlantic herring)
Lineage: Eukaryota; Metazoa; Chordata; Actinopteri; Clupeiformes; Clupeidae
Exons: 3
Source: RefSeq, a predicted model, not a curated record
ACGUCAGUGGGCGUUAACCGGUCAGCUGUUAGCUAGAAUCUGUAAAUUCGUUGUCUCUGAAUGAUUUUAGCAGCAGCUAGCUAUCCUAUCCUGUCACCCUACUGGAUCCAUCAUUAAGAUUAGUUUUCUACAUCCUUGUCAGGCUGACAAUAAAAUCAACUAUAGAAUAUAUGAUUUUGAGUUUGUAUCCACUAUUGUUGUUCAAUGAUAUUCACUGUCCUCCCGGCUCCCGAUAAGUUAAGCUAACUAAAUUUAGCGUGCUAGCUAGCAUGGCGAGUUGCCAUUAACUAGCUAGCUACAAACGUCAGCCAGCAAUGCAAAAUCAGAAUGAUAUGGCAGUAACUACUUCAUUACCAGGCUAUCUAGUUAAAUUACAGGAAACCAGCCAUCAAGUACAUAUAAUUGAGUUGUAUCAUUGUCAACACAAGUUUUUUGUUUUAUUUUUCGUUUUAAAGAACAGGAAAUUGAUGGAGACUACUGGGCCUCACUGAACGGAUGGUUGAAGAACUAUCCCCGUCUAUGAAAUUGCAGGUGAUGUUUGUGAAGGAACUGAACUAGCUCCUAGAACAACAUGAAGUUGGAUUGCCCCUGGACCAUGCUGACAGCAUAGGCAAAAGACUGUCCUGUCUAGACUGUCCUGUGCCAGUGUUGAGAAUGAUGCUUCGACAAAGACCAUGCUCGUCUUCUUUGACCCA